UACGUAGGGGGGCAAGCGUUGUCCGGAUUUAUUGGGCGUAAAGAGCGUGUAGGCGGCCUGGAAGGUCAGCUGUGAAAACUCGAGGCUCAACCUCGAGACGUCGGUUGAAACCACCUGGCUAGAGUCCGGAAGAGGAGAGUGGAAUUCCUGGUGUAGCGGUGAAAUGCGCAGAUAUCAGGAAGAACACCCGUGGCGAAGGCGGCUCUCUGGGACGGUACUGACGCUGAGACGCGAAAGCGUGGGGGAGCGAACAGG
This 255-nucleotide ribosomal RNA is filed under the name uncultured bacterium. Its description in RNAcentral is "partial 16S ribosomal RNA". It matches the Rfam family "Bacterial small subunit ribosomal RNA", at positions 524 to 776 of the family's 1533-position model. The record is from RNAcentral.